GCAUAUCAAUAAGCGGAGGAAAAAGAAACCAACAGGGAUUGCCCUUAGUAACGGCGAAGUGAAGCGGCAACAGCUCAAAUUUGAAAUCUGGCCUCGGCCCGAGUUGUAAUUUGCAGAGGAUGUUUCUGGCGAGGUGCCUUCCGAGUUCCCUGGAACGGGACGCCACAGAGGGUGAGAGCCCCGUAUGGUUGGACACCAAGCCUGUGUGAAACUCCUUCGACGAGUCGAGUAGUUUGGGAAUGCUGCUCAAAAUGGGAGGUAAAUCUCUUCUAAAGCUAAAUACCGGCCAGAGACCGAUAGCGCACAAGUAGAGUGAUCGAAAGAUGAAAAGCACCUUGAAAAGGGGGUUAAACAGUACGUGAAAUUGUUGAAAGGGAAGCGCUUGUGACCAGACUUGUGCCGGGCGGUUCAUCCGGGGUUCUCCCCGGUGCACUCCGCCCGGUUCAGGCCAGCAUCGGUUCUCGUUGGGGGAUAAGAACGGCAGGAACGUGGCCCUCCCUCGGGAGGGUGUUAUAGCCUGCCGUACGAUACCCUGAUGGGGACCGAGGUUCGCGCUCCGCAAGGAUGCUGGCGUAAUGGUCAUCAGCGACCCGUCUUGAAACACGGACCAAGGAGUCGUCCAUUAGAGCGAGCGUUUGGGUGUAAAACCCGCACGCGUAAUGAAAGUGAAAUUAGGUGAGAGCUUCGGCGCAUCAUCGACCGAUCCUGAUGUUCUCGGAUGGAUUUGAGUAAGAGUUUUAACGGACGGACCCGAAAGACAGUGAACUAUGCUUGUAUAGGGUGAAGCCAGAGGAAACUCUGGUGGAGGCUCGCAGCGGUUCUGACGUGCAAAUCGAUCGUCAAAUAUGAGCAU
This 853-nucleotide ribosomal RNA is filed under the name Aurantiosacculus acutatus. Its description in RNAcentral is "LSU rRNA". It matches the Rfam family "Eukaryotic large subunit ribosomal RNA", at positions 38 to 918 of the family's 3401-position model. Lineage: Eukaryota; Fungi; Ascomycota; Sordariomycetes; Diaporthales; Cryphonectriaceae. The record is from RNAcentral.